GAUUUCAAGUUUGAUUCGAUGCAUCUGAUAGUCAGUAUUUGGAUUUUUAUGACAAUGGUUAAAAUAUCAGUUUUUUGUUUGGAAUAUCCAGAGAUUUAAACUGAGAGAUAAACAUUAAGCUGAUAACUUUGGAGAUUAUGGAGUUUCCUUCAAAUUAUGUCCAUUACUCAACCUGCCAGGAAUGAAUUCAAGGUUAGAUAACAGAAAAACGAUUUACUCAUGCUUCAGUUACCAAGAUGCUUAUUUUGUAGUAAUAGUGGUAUGUAUUUUAUCUUCUAACAGACAGCAUAACAAAGAAGGAGCCACCUCUUCUUAAUUCUUCUAGUUUUAGCUGAUGCAUAUAAGCUGUUCAAAAUAUGAUGCCGCGUUUACUUACUGCAAUUUGUUGCAAUUUACUGUCCAGAUAACUUGGCAGUUAAUUUUGUGGAAUUCUUCGUUGCUUGUCUAUUAGCUUGAUUUGGUCGUUGAUCAAUUGUUAUUGCAGGACUUGUUUAAUCUUGUCUCCGUUUAAACUUCAAUCAAUUUAUGGAAUCGCAGAGGAAAAUCAUGAAUGGUCAGAAAAUGCAAUCAAUUGGCGCCAGAGAUGAAUUUAAGGCUAAUAAAAUGAACAGGCGUGUUAUGAUGUAUUAAGACUGUGCUAGUCGCUGGAGGUUGAACAAUGGAGAAGCCUUCAGUUCUUGAUUAAUAAAGGUCAAUUGGCAGCUUGGCUCCCUUCACGUUGCUUUGUUCUUUUAUCGAAUGCAAACUUCUAAUAGAAUUCAAAGGUGUAUAAUACACACGGUUUGUUUCCUAUCUAUCAAAAAUAUAAAUGUUUUCCUCCCAAUAAAUUUAACGAAUAAAAGCAUCAGCAUCGUUCAGGCUUUUGUUAAUUAUUAUCAGAUAUCAACUUAGCAAAUUUUGUUCUUUGUCAGGAUUUUGGUUACAAAAUGUAUGCUGUUAGUCUGUUACAACUCUUAGCUCAGUUGGUAAAAGGAAAAUUAUGCUGCAAUUCUCUGUUGAAUAGAAAGUCACUCGAAUGUGGUCUGAUGGCAAAGCGUAAGUGAACAAAGACUAGUCAUUUUUUUAUCGUCCAGUGCUCUUGACUGUCAGUUCAAGGUUUUGUUACUGUUGGAUGUAAACGUUGUACUAAUGCUUUAAAUUUUUAUACAUAAAUAUGUGUGAUCAUCAGAAUGAUGUAUCUCUUUGCUAUUGAUGACGUUUAAUUUUCUUUUCAGGAUAUAAAUUAUGUCAUGCUCAUUAUCAAACACAUAGCUUUAAAUUAAGGCUCCAUAGAGAAUCUAUAGAAAAGAUAAUGAC
RNAcentral lists this long non-coding RNA (1296 nucleotides) under Capsicum annuum. Its description in RNAcentral is "long non-coding RNA (CANN_LNC016697)". The record is from RNAcentral. Lineage: Eukaryota; Viridiplantae; Streptophyta; Magnoliopsida; Solanales; Solanaceae.